RNAcentral lists this ribosomal RNA (521 nucleotides) under Setophoma terrestris. Its description in RNAcentral is "eukaryotic LSU rRNA". The stretch from base 182 to 335 matches the Rfam family "5.8S ribosomal RNA". The record is from RNAcentral. Lineage: Eukaryota; Fungi; Ascomycota; Dothideomycetes; Pleosporales; Phaeosphaeriaceae.
UUCCGUAGGUGAACCUGCGGAAGGAUCAUUAUCAAAAGUCAAGUCGGGGGCUGUAAAGCUCUCGUCUACACCCAUGUCUUUUGCGUACUCUUGUUUCCUCGGUGGCGCAAGCUGCCGAUUGGACAAACCAAAACCUUUUUUGUAAUUGCAAUCAGCGUCUGAAAAUAAUCUAAUUAUUUACAACUUUCAACAACGGAUCUCUUGGUUCUGGCAUCGAUGAAGAACGCAGCGAAAUGCGAUAAGUAGUGUGAAUUGCAGAAUUCAGUGAAUCAUCGAAUCUUUGAACGCACAUUGCGCCCCUUGGUAUUCCAUGGGGCAUGCCUGUUCGAGCGUCAUUUGUACCCUCAAGCUUUGCUUGGUGUUGGGCGUCUUGUCGUAUUACGACUCGCCUUAAAUUCAUUGGCAGCGGGCACUUUGGCCUAGGAGCGCAGCACAUUUUGCGAUCGUAGCCCGUUGUACUGGCGUCCAUCAAGAACAUUUACCACGUUUGACCUCGGAUCAGGUAGGGAUACCCGCUGAAC